RNAcentral lists this ribosomal RNA (434 nucleotides) under uncultured bacterium. RNAcentral's name for it is "bacterial SSU rRNA". It matches the Rfam family "Bacterial small subunit ribosomal RNA", at positions 954 to 1392 of the family's 1533-position model. The record is from RNAcentral.
GCACAACGCGAAGAACCUUACCUACCCUUGACAUGUCUGGAAUCCCGAAGAGAUUCGGGAGUGCUCGAAAGAGAACCGGGACACAGGUGCUGCAUGGCUGUCGUCAGCUCGUGUCGUGAGAUGUUGGGUUAAGUCCCGCAACGAGCGCAACCCUUGUCAUUAGUUGCUACGAAAGGGCACUCUAAUAAGACUGCCGGUGACAAACCGGAGGAAGGUGGGGAUGACGUCAAGUCCUCAUGGCCCUUAUGGGUAGGGCUUCACACGUGCUACAAUGGUCGGUACAGAGGGUUGCCAAGCCGCGAGGUGGAGCUAAUCCCAGAGAACCGAUCGUAGUCCGGAUCGUAGUCUGCAACUCGACUACGUGAAGUCGGAAUCGCUAGUAAUCGUGGAUCAGAAUGUCACGGUGAAUACGUUCCCGGGUCUUGUACACACCG